RNAcentral lists this ribosomal RNA (942 nucleotides) under uncultured archaeon. RNAcentral describes it as "bacterial SSU rRNA". It matches the Rfam family "Archaeal small subunit ribosomal RNA", at positions 1 to 922 of the family's 1478-position model. The record is from RNAcentral.
UUCCGGUUGAUCCUGCCGGACCCUACUGCUAUCGGGGUGGGACUAAGACAUGCGAGUCGAGCGUCUCUAGCUAUGUUGAGACGCGGCAGACGGCUCAGUAACACGUGGCUAACCUACCCUCAGGACAAGGAUAAACCCGGGAAACUGGGGCUAAUACUCGAUAGGCGAAGGCGCCUGGAAUGGUUCUUCACCCAAUGGGCUUUAAAAACAUGCUUCUAAAGUCGCCUGGGGAUGGGGCCGCGUCCGAUCAGGUUGUUGGUGAGGUAACGGCUCACCAAGCCUAUAACCGGUACGGGCCGUGAGAGCGGUAGCCUGGAGAUGGGUACUGAGACAAGGACCCAGGCCCUACGGGGCGCAGCAGUCGCGAAAACUCCGCAAUGCACGAAAGUGUGACGGGGCUACCCCGAGUGCCAUCCGCUGAGGAUGGCUUUUCCUUGGUGUAACUAGCCAGGGGAAUAAGGAGAGGGCAAGACUGGUGUCAGCCGCCGCGGUAAUACCAGCUCUCCGAGUGGUAGGGAUGAUUAUUGGGCUUAAAGCGUCCGUAGCCUGCUUAGCAAGUCUCCUGUUAAAUUCAGCGACUUAAUCGUUGAGCCGCGGGAGAUACUACUAGGCUAGGAGGCGGUAGAGGUCGACGGUACUUCUGGGGUAGGGGUGAAAUCCUAUAAUCCCGGGAGGACCACCAGCGGCGAAGGCUGUCGACUAGAACGCGCUCGACGGUGAGGGACGAAAGCUGGGGGAGCGAACCGGAUUAGAUACCCGGGUAGUCCCAGCCGUAAACGAUGCAUACUAGGUGAUGGCACGGCCAUGAGCCGUGUCAGUGCCGUAGGGAAACCGUUAAGUGUGCCGCCUGGGAAGUACGGUCGCAAGGCUAAAACUUAAAGGAAUUGGCGGGGGGGCACCCCAAGGGGUGAAGCCUGCGGUUCAAUUGGAUUCAACGCCGGA